AUAAGGAGCUUGCUCCUUUGACGUUAGCGGCGGACGGGUGAGUAACACGUGGAUAACCUACCUAUAAGACUGGGAUAACUUCGGGAAACCGGAGCUAAUACCGGAUAAGAUUUUGAACCGCAUGGUUCAAUAGUGAAAGACGGCCUUGCUGUCACUUAUAGAUGGAUCCGCGCCGUAUUAGCUAGUUGGUAAGGUAACGGCUUACCAAGGCAACGAUACGUAGCCGACCUGAGAGGGUGAUCGGCCACACUGGAACUGAGACACGGUCCAGACUCCUACGGGAGGCAGCAGUAGGGAAUCUUCCGCAAUGGGCGAAAGCCUGACGGAGCAACGCCGCGUGAGUGAUGAAGGUCUUCGGAUCGUAAAACUCUGUUAUCAGGGAAGAACAAACGUGUAAGUAACUGUGCACGUCUUGACGGUACCUGAUCNNNAAGCCACGGCUAACUACGUGCCNNCAGCCGCGGUAAUACNNNNNUGGCAAGCGUUAUCCGGAAUUAUUGGGCG
This 504-nucleotide ribosomal RNA is filed under the name Staphylococcus sp. RNAcentral describes it as "bacterial SSU rRNA". It matches the Rfam family "Bacterial small subunit ribosomal RNA", at positions 71 to 560 of the family's 1533-position model. Lineage: Bacteria; Bacillati; Bacillota; Bacilli; Caryophanales; Staphylococcaceae. The record is from RNAcentral.